RNAcentral lists this long non-coding RNA (2219 nucleotides) under Triticum aestivum (bread wheat). RNAcentral's name for it is "long non-coding RNA (TAES_LNC005622)". Lineage: Eukaryota; Viridiplantae; Streptophyta; Magnoliopsida; Poales; Poaceae. The record is from RNAcentral.
GUUUGUAGUGCAGUACGGUCAGCUAAGCCAUCUGCCCCAUCCCAUCCAAUCCAAUACCAUAGCUCAGUCACCUAGGCUGAUAUGUCCGUUUGUAUUUCUAAUGCCACAUUAACGCGUCAAUGAUUAGUGGUUGGCAUUUACUGUAGUUUUUGGCGAAUCUUCAUGGGUUUGUGUUUCUCGUAUCUCUAUUGAUUUAUACUUCUUGAUAGGGUCUUAGCCAUAUUCCUACAAUACAAUGCAAUAUGCGGCAGCUAUAAGUUAUAUGGAUAUUACUAGUCGUAGGUGCAGCUAUUAAUUUCGUACUAGUAUAGUUGUUCAGCCAAGUAGGAAAAGUUAGAUGCAUGUACAUGUAUGGAACUGACUAUGCAGUAUUCAAGUUUCCAGCAAUUUUUCGUUGAAAAAACUAAUCACUGUUGAAAAAGUAGCUUUCAAUUUUGACAGUGAUCUUUUACUGCAAACACUGAACCAUCUCACUUGACAAAGUUUAUCUAUUAAUUAAAUAUAUUGGCAAUACCAAAAUGCAUCAAUUUAUCAGUAUUUUAGAUUAUCUUGAGAGAGUUCAAAUUCAGAGUAACCUUUGGUCUAGAGACUUUGUGUGAGUAACGAUUUUCUGUUGACUUCUCCAUUCUGACCAUGGUAUUGGCUUAUGGAGAUCAUUGUUUGUCUAUGGAGAAAAUUUAAUGUCAGUAUACAUACAUUCAAAAUAUUGUUUUGUGGUCUUCUAAAUUACCAAUACAUAUGUUGUAUCUUCAAGUUACAGAAACUGGAUUGUUUCAGGUAGUGAUGACAUUACGCGGUGACUGUGGACUCUGGCGUCAAAGGACAAAACAUGGUUCAGGUUGCCGCUUGUAUUUUACUACAUUUAAGUGUAGUACGUGAAUGUAUAAUUGGAAUAAUAUAGCUUUGAAAUCACAGCCUGUAAAUCCUAGCACCACCACUGGUUCCAUGUCAAUAUUCUUGGCACUUAAACAUGGAAGAUCACUAGUGCCAGAUAGGAAUUUUUAUGAUGUAAUUUGUAACUGUAGUUCUACCACCACAAAGAGAAAUUGGACUACUAAUUGCCAUCCUGAAUAUUAUUUCUUAUCUACCAUAUACCUAUAUUUUUUCCCACCUAAUUUGUACAAAAAGAAAACUUUUCUUGCAUGUGAAAUUCUCAUACUGCUUCUGCGAGAUAUGACUCGUUACAACUAGAUUAAGUAAAACAAUUCAUCAAAUACUGUGUGUGUAAAUUACAUUCCCUCGCUUCCUAUAAAACACUAUUUCUAUCGACAUGAUGAAAAUUAAUUAUGGAAUGAGGUGAGUUAGCUUAGUACGCUAAUAUCUACUUUCAGCUACAGAUGCGUGAUACUUUCCAAAUCUAACUAGUCUGGGUUUUGCGAAUAUAUCGCACCAUAUUCACUCAUGCUAUCGCCGAUUAGUCACAUAAGUUUAUUCGAUAUCAAUUAGAUAUGUAGUUUUUUUGUGGUUAAAAAACUAAUGAAUUGUAGUUUUUCUUCCGUAGAGAUGUACAUGUAGAGUUGGUGCUACAUUAGCAAAAUCUGACCAGUUGAUACGACCACUAAAAAUGUUAAAAAUUAUUGGCCAUGCAGCUGGAUUAAUUAUUGCAUGGCCUUCAACCUUUGUUUGUUGCUCUUCUAAAUUUUGCUGCUCUAUUAACCUUUUUUUCUACUGUAAGUUACUGAUCUCAUUUCUUUAUUUUUGUAGAUUCAUAAGAUAUUUUGACGAUGCAUGGCUUAGACGUUGAUUGCACGGUCCAGAAUGGUGCUAUAGGAUACUCUUAUCAUCUGAUUGCAAGGUCGAGAAUGGUGUUGCUGCUAGAUAGUUUGAUCAUCUGAUUGCAAGGUCGAGAAUGGUGUUGCUGCUGGAUAGUUUUAUCAUCUGAUUGCAAGGUCGAGAAUGGUGUUGCUGCUAUAUGGUCUUAUCAUAUGAUUGCAAGGUCGAGAAUGGUGUUGCUGUUGGAUAGUCUUAUGUUAUGUUUUAGGAUAUCAUUUCCAGUGUCAAUGUUUCAAAAGUUCUAAUUUCGAAUAGUUGAGAAAAUGAUUGAAAAGAUCCAGAAUUGGGCUAGUAUUGUAAUCUUUGGAUCAUGUUCUUUGUAAUGCAAUAGAUGAAAUUGAAUAUAUUAGACCUUUUUCAUAUAUUGUGCCUCCUAUGUACUAUCCCCAUCGACCUUAUCAUUAUCAAUGGCUAUAUAUAAAAUACAUGUUAUAUCCAUUUGAAUA